UGGGGAAUAUUGCACAAUGGGCGAAAGCCUGAUGCAGCGACGCCGCGUGAGGGAUGACGGCCUUCGGGUUGUAAACCUCUUUCAGCAGGGACGAAGCGCAAGUGACGGUACCUGCAGAAGAAGCACCGGCUAACUACGUGCCAGCAGCCGCGGUAAUACGUAGGGUGCAAGCGUUGUCCGGAAUUACUGGGCGUAAAGAGUUCGUAGGCGGUUUGUCGCGUCGUUUGUGAAAAGCCAGCAGCUCAACUGCUGGCUUGCAGGCGAUACGGGCAGACUUGAGUACUGCAGGGGAGACUGGAAUUCCUGGUGUAGCGGUGAAAUGCGCAGAUAUCAGGAGGAACACCGGUGGCGAAGGCGGGUCUCUGGGCAGUAACUGACGCUGAGGAACGAAAGCGUGGGUAGCGAACAGGAUUAGAUACCCUGGUAGUCCACGCGUAAACGGUGGCGCUAGGUGUGGGUUCCUUCCACGGAAUCCGUGCCGUAGCUAACGCAUUAAGCGCCCCGCCUGGGGAGUACGGCCGCAAGGCUAAAACGUCAAAUGAAUUGACGGGGUCAUAGCUGUUUCCU
This 567-nucleotide ribosomal RNA is filed under the name uncultured bacterium. Its description in RNAcentral is "partial 16S ribosomal RNA". It matches the Rfam family "Bacterial small subunit ribosomal RNA", at positions 355 to 1375 of the family's 1533-position model. The record is from RNAcentral.